GGGGGCAACCCCUUGAGAGUGGCGAACGGGUGAGUAAUAUAUCGGAACGUGCCCAGUCGUGGGGGAUAACGUAGCGAAAGUUACGCUAAUACCGCAUACGAUCUACGGAUGAAAGCGGGGGAUCGCAAGACCUCGCGCGACUGGAGCGGCCGAUAUCAGAUUAGGUAGUUGGUGGGGUAAAGGCUCAUCAAGCCAACGAUCUGUAGCUGGUCUGAGAGGACGACCAGCCACACUGGAACUGAGACACGGUCCAGACUCCUACGGGAGGCAGCAGUGGGGAAUUUUGGACAAUGGACGCAAGUCUGAUCCAGCCAUUCCGCGUGCAGGAUGAAGGCCCUCGGGUUGUAAACUGCUUUUGUACGGAACGAAAAGGUCUCUCCUAAUACGAGAGGCUCAUGACGGUACCGUAAGAAUAAGCACCGGCUAACUACGUGCCAGCAGCCGCGGUAAUACGUAGGGUGCAAGCGUUAAUCGGAAUUACUGGGCGUAAAGCGUGCGCAGGCGGUUAUAUAAGACAGAUGUGAAAUCCCCGGGCUCAACCUGGGAACUGCAUUUGUGACUGUAUAGCUAGAGUACGGUAGAGGGGGAUGGAAUUCCGCGUGUAGCAGUGAAAUGCGUAGAUAUGCGGAGGAACACCGAUGGCGAAGGCAAUCCCCUGGACCUGUACUGACGCUCAUGCACGAAAGCGUGGGGAGCAAACAGGAUUAGAUACCCUGGUAGUCCACGCCCUAAACGAUGUCAACUGGUUGUUGGGUCUUAACUGACUCAGUAACGAAGCUAACGCGUGAAGUUGACCGCCUGGGGAGUAC
RNAcentral lists this ribosomal RNA (809 nucleotides) under uncultured bacterium. RNAcentral describes it as "bacterial SSU rRNA". It matches the Rfam family "Bacterial small subunit ribosomal RNA", at positions 75 to 883 of the family's 1533-position model. The record is from RNAcentral.